This 124-nucleotide small RNA is filed under the name Marmota monax (woodchuck). The record is from RNAcentral. Lineage: Eukaryota; Metazoa; Chordata; Mammalia; Rodentia; Sciuridae.
GUCUGGCGUGGUGGCACACGCCUGAAAUCCCAGUGCCUGGGAGGCAGAGACAGGAGGAUUGCAAGUUCAAAGCCAGCCUCAGCAAUGGCGAGGCACUAAGCAACUCAGUGAGACCCUGUCUCUA